RNAcentral lists this long non-coding RNA (2162 nucleotides) under Brassica napus (rape). RNAcentral's name for it is "long non-coding RNA (BNAP_LNC007805)". The record is from RNAcentral. Lineage: Eukaryota; Viridiplantae; Streptophyta; Magnoliopsida; Brassicales; Brassicaceae.
CGGUCAUACUCCUCGAUCAUGUUAUCGAGAUCCUCUUCGGUGGUGAGGGAGAUUAGAGAAUCAAGAUCUUCGCUGGGUAGCUGAUACUUGAGCGUGACGGAGCGGCCGUUGAGUAGCGUGUUGGAGAGACGAGUGAUGAGAGAAGAGAGGGAGGAGGUGCGGUCGAGGGCAAUGAUGCGAGUGUCGCCGCCCAUGUAACAGAGCGACUUGUCGUGCGGGCGGGGAAGGAUGUGGCCGUUGUAACUGCACAUGAGACGGAGUUUGGAAGAGGCGGCGCCAGCGGGAGGAGGAAGAUCGUCCCAGGCAUCGGUGGUGCGGGAUUUUGGGGAGGAGUCUAGAGACUCGGGGUAAGAUGAUGGCACGUGAGGAGGAGGAGGAGGUAUAGAAGAGGUGGCUGCGGGAACGACGGUGGAGGAGAGAGAAGGAGGCGGUGGUUCCAUAGGAGAGAGAGAGAGAGUUGAAAAAGGCCAAAGUGUAGUGGGAUUCGGGAGAGAGUUUAUAGCAGCUAGUUCACGACUUGUACAGCGCAGCUAUUUUCUUUUUCUCUUUUUCUUAUCUGAUUUUCCCCCUUAAAUGUAAUCUAUGGUUUAAUAAUUAGCAAUAGAACAAGAGUUUCUACAAAAUUGUACUAUCUUAAGAUAUGAAAAUUCACAUAAUCAAAUCUAACAAUUGUAUGUGAUUUAUUGUUAAAUUAUAUUUUGUAUUUAAAAAUAAAAUUAAUGAAUUUUAAGUAUGUAAUUAAUUUAUGUAAUUAAUAAAAUUUAAUUUUGACGAAAAACAUAUAUGUAAUUUUGAUUAAAUGAUUAUUUAUUGUUGUAUCAAACAUAUGCUAUUUUUCUUUUGUAUUAAUAUAAUUUAUAAUGUCUAUUGUAUGUUAACCUUUUACAUGUUCAUAUGUUUAAAUUUACAGUUGGAAAUGUUUAUGGAUAUUGGUAAUAAUUUUUAUAUAUUUACCAUUGUACAACUAAUUAAAUCAUGUAUGUUAGUUGCAACUAAUUACCAUUUUUAGUUGCAACUAAUUACCAUAUUUACCAUUUUUUUACAGUUACAACAAAAAAUUACCAUUUUUAAUGUUUUGAGAAUUAGUUAAUUUUCUAUUAGUCGCUACACAGUACAAACUCUAUAAAUUAAUAUUUGAUAAUUUAAUAAAAGCUUUAAAUUAAUAAAUUAUUCAAGUUUCGAGUUUGAUCGCUUUAAAAUAUGACACAAAUUAAUAAAAUAAUUAGAUAAUAAUAAUUAUGGUUUUAUUAAAAUCAUAAAUCAAUAAUUUAUAUAUACAUUUUAUAUAUAUACAAAAAAAUAAUGUAUUGUUUUCUAUAUAAAUUAUUAAAUAUUUUAAUACAUUUUAAUUCACUAAGGAUAAAUAUGUAAUUGACCAUCUAUAUUCACAGUGAUAUUAUCUAUGUUUUUCUUAGCAAUUCAAUAUUUUUAUAAUAUUUAGUAAAAUUAUAUUUAAAACCAUAUUUAAAUUCUAUAAAAUAUAUUUUAUAUGCACUAAACAUUGUAAGAAAAAUAAUAUGAAAGUCUAAUCUCAGAAUAAAAUUAAUUAUUUCUGAUUUAUAUAAAAAUAUACUCUGGAAUAGGAAAAUCUAUAAAAUCUAUAAAAGAAAACUUUUUUUGUAAAUUAAUAACCCUAUGGAGCGGCCGUUGAGUAGCGUGUUGGAGAGACGAGUGAUGAGAGAAGAGAGGGAGGAGGUGCGGUCGAGGGCAAUGAUGCGAGUGUCGCCGCCCAUGUAACAGAGCGACUUGUCGUGCGGGCGGGGAAGGAUGUGGCCGUUGUAACUGCACAUGAGACGGAGUUUGGAAGAGGCGGCGCCAGCGGGAGGAGGAAGAUCGUCCCAGGCAUCGGUGGUGCGGGAUUUUGGGGAGGAGUCUAGAGACUCGGGGUAAGAUGAUGGCACGUGAGGAGGAGGAGGAGGUAUAGAAGAGGUGGCUGCGGGAACGACGGUGGAGGAGAGAGAAGGAGGCGGUGGUUCCAUAGGAGAGAGAGAGAGAGUUGAAAAAGGCCAAAGUGUAGUGGGAUUCGGGAGAGAGUUUAUAGCAGCUAGUUCACGACUUGUACAGCGCAGCUAUUUUCUUUUUCUCUUUUUCUUAUCUGAUUUUCCCCCUUAAAUGUAAUCUAUGGUUUAAUAAUUAGCAAUAGAACAAGAGUUUCUACAAAA